This 463-nucleotide ribosomal RNA is filed under the name uncultured bacterium. RNAcentral describes it as "SSU rRNA". It matches the Rfam family "Bacterial small subunit ribosomal RNA", at positions 26 to 518 of the family's 1533-position model. The record is from RNAcentral.
AGGAUUAACGCUGGCGGCGUGCCUAACACAUGCAAGUCGAACGAGGUAGCAAUACCUAGUGGCAGACGGGUGAGUAGCGCGUGGUCAACCUACCGUUGAGUGGGGGAUAACUAACCGAAAGGUUAGCUAAUACCGCAUACGUCUCCGAGGGGCAUCCCUUGGCGAUAAAAGGAGCAAUCCGCUCGAUGACGGGACCGCGUCCCAUUAGCUAGUUGGUGGGGUAACGGCCUACCAAGGCAUCGAUGGGUAGCUGGUUUGAGAGAGCGACCAGCCACACUGGGACUGAGAUACGGCCCAGACUCCUACGGGAGGCAGCAGUGAGGAAUUUUCCGCAAUGGGCGAAAGCCUGACGGAGCGACGCCGCGUGUGGGAAGAAGGCCUUCGGGUCGUAAACCACUGUCGAAGGGAAGAUAAUGACGGUACCCUUGGAGGAAGCCCCGGCUAACUACGCGCCAGCAGCCGC